GGAUUGGCGUGUUGGUCGUGCCCUAAGGGGUAUGAACUGGCAUUGUUGAUUCUCACCUCCUGGAGAACCAUAAUUCCCUUAAUUGGGUGUUAUGCGGAACCAGGACCUUUACCUUGAAAAAAUUAGAGUGUUUAAAGCAGGCAUUUUUGCUCGAAUACAUUAGCAUGGAAUAAUAAAAUAGGACGGCUUGGUUCUAUUUUGUUGGUUUCUAGGAUCACCGUA
Molecule: ribosomal RNA, 222 nt
Filed under: uncultured fungus
Lineage: Eukaryota; Fungi
Description: partial small subunit ribosomal RNA
Rfam family: Eukaryotic small subunit ribosomal RNA (bases 42-222)
Source: RNAcentral